Molecule: long non-coding RNA, 571 nt
Filed under: Arachis ipaensis
Lineage: Eukaryota; Viridiplantae; Streptophyta; Magnoliopsida; Fabales; Fabaceae
Description: long non-coding RNA (AIPA_LNC002190)
Source: RNAcentral
AAAAAACUUAUGUUUCAUAAUGUUAGAAUUCAAUUUGUCAAUUGAGAAUUGAUUCUUCUUAGAUACAAAUUAUGAUAAUUUAGAUUAUUCCUUGAAUUUUUCAUUGAGAGGAAUAAAGGAUUCAAAAUCCCUUUAAGUAAGAAAUAAAGUUUUUGAUCGAGAUAUGAAUCAAAGGAGGGCGGGAUCCCUUAACUUUUAAGGGGUCCGUAGAACGAAUCGCACUUUUACCACUAAAACAUACGUUUCUACAAAUUAGAGCGUUCUCGUGUGUCGUAAGGGGACCAACCCCCCUAAUCAAUUAAAAAGGGGGGCGAAUCUCAUUUUUUUUAAUUCAAAUAAAUCAGAGUUAUCUGGAAUUCCUGGAAACAGUCCCCGAGCCCGGCUAGACUCUGGCUGGGCUCUGGCUGUAGCAAAAAAAAAAAUAAAUAAACCACAAAAAAUGGAAUGAGAAUAAAAAAAGAAAUAUAAUAAAUAAAAGAAAUAUUAUUCUAAUAUAAACAUUAAUAGAAAUCUAAACAUAGAAUGAAAUUAUCAAAUAAUUUAGAUAAUGAAUAUAAAGAAUAUGAAAAAU